CAGUCGCCGCGGUAACACGUAUGUCGCAAGCGUUAUCCGGAAUUAUUGGGCAUAAAGGGCAUCUAGGCGGCCAGACAAGUCUGGGGUGAAAACUUGCGGCUCAACCGCAAGCCUGCCCUGGAAACUGUUUGGCUAGAGUGCUGGAGAGGUGGACGGAACUGCACGAGUAGAGGUGAAAUUCGUAGAUAUGUGCAGGAAUGCCGAUGAUGAAGAUAGUUCACUGGACGGCAACUGACGCUGAAGUGCGAAAGCUAGGGGAGCGAACAGGAUUAGAGACCCCCGUAGUCCCUGUCUCUUAUAC
This 301-nucleotide ribosomal RNA is filed under the name uncultured bacterium. Its description in RNAcentral is "partial 16S ribosomal RNA". It matches the Rfam family "Bacterial small subunit ribosomal RNA", at positions 509 to 807 of the family's 1533-position model. The record is from RNAcentral.